Molecule: ribosomal RNA, 467 nt
Filed under: uncultured bacterium
Lineage: Bacteria
Description: partial 16S ribosomal RNA
Rfam family: Bacterial small subunit ribosomal RNA
Source: RNAcentral
GACGAACGCUGGCGGCGUGCUUAACACAUGCAAGUCGAACGGAAAGGCCCUGCUUUUGUGGGGUGCUCGAGUGGCGAACGGGUGAGUAACACGUGAGUAACCUGCCCUGGACUUUGGGAUAACUUCAGGAAACUGGGGCUAAUACCGGAUAGGAGCUCCUGCUGCAUGGUGGGGGUUGGAACGUUUGGGCGGUUGGGGAUGGAGUCGGGGCUUAUUAGCUUGGUGGUGGGGUAGUGGCUUACCAAGGCGUUGACGGGUAGCCGGCCUGAGAGGGUGACCGGCCACAUUGUGACGGAGAUACGGCCCAGACGCCUACGGGAGGCAGGAGUGGGUAAUAUUGCACAAUGGGCGGAAGCCUGAUGCAGCAACGCCGCGUGCGGGAUGACGGCCUUCGGGUGGUAAACCGCUUUCGCCUGUGACGAAGCGUGAGGGACUGUAAUGGGGAAAGAAGCACCGGCUAACUACGU